RNAcentral lists this long non-coding RNA (2192 nucleotides) under Daphnia pulicaria. RNAcentral describes it as "uncharacterized LOC124344313, transcript variant X9". Lineage: Eukaryota; Metazoa; Arthropoda; Branchiopoda; Diplostraca; Daphniidae. The record is from RNAcentral.
GGUGUGUAGGAGGGGGAGGGAUGUGGGGGAGUGUACGCUGUUCUGGCUAGGCUUCCAGAACCUUUAAUUCAGAAUCAGAAUAAAUUUAUAGAAAACUAAACUACUGCAUCGAUUUUCUUCAAACUUUUUGUGUAAACUUAGGGUAAUUUGUCUCAGCGUUUAGGUAAGUUUCGAUUCAUUUGGUAAUACUAAAUUUUAUUUAUUUUUAUGCGGAUUUAGUCGUUAGCUUUUUCUGACUUAGGACCACCACAACAUCAUUAUUAGUUGUCUGUUGACAGUCUGUGGCUCUCUGCUGUGUCUGUCUGUUUACUAGAGGUGUGCGUCGUUUAAACGUUCUACAUCGGUUAAAACAUUUUAUAUGUUCAACGUGAAAUAAUAUUUGACUCUUUCAGUAUUUAGAAAACAACAAAAGAAACUGCACACAAAGCCUUUUGGUAUUUGCUGAAAGAAGAGGAUCCUCCAAAAUAUGAGAAAGCCCUUACACUGCUUGAAGAAAUCAAAGAAUGGCUGCUGUCCUUAUUGUUACCCCAUCAGACCAGAACUCUAAAAAAAAUCAAGGAUAAGUUAGGCACAGUGCACAGAUCUGAUAAGGCCACAAAUUGAAGCGGAAACUCAAGAUUUGCAUGAAUAGUUAUUCACAGUAUGGCAAGACUAUGCGGUGAUGCGAUACAGUAUCGCAGCCUGUAGUGUAGAAUACGAACGAAGUAAAUUCGAAGAUUAUCUCAAGAUAAAUCUUGAUGGAUUCCGACAUACCCGAGAGUGGCUGCAUUGCAAUCGAAAAGAAACUUCGCAGCACUCAGUCAGUUCCUCCAACGCUAUCACCUCGGUCGAGCGAUCCGCAAACGGGCGAAUGGAAGUUGGUUGUGCCAAUGUCCAAGCGGUGAUGCGACGUUGGUGUUGCUGUUCUUAGCGAUUUAUUGCUAUGCCUAUGUCGUUGGUGGCCAUGACGGUCAGUCGUAUAUCUAAAUAGCAAAGAACACUUCGAUCCUCAAACCAAUUUAGUCGUCUGAGGUAGCGCCCACAUGGCGCACGUGUGUCGGUGUAGCUGUUCUCUAUGGUUAUAUGUAUGCCGUUGGGGCCAGGAUGGCGUCAGUUGUCUUAACUAUGUUGAACGCUACGAUCCAAAAGAAAAUAAAUGGAGUAAAGUCGCCUCUAUGAACACUCGUCGAUUAGUUGUAGCUGUUGCCGUCCUGGGUGGAUACGUGUGAGUGGGUCAGAUGGCCAGAUUCCUCUUAAAACUAUGGAAAAAUAUGAUCCACGUCAGAACAAAUGGACUUUGGUUGCUCCAAUGUCGUUGUCGUUGUCGUACAAGAAAAAAACAGUUGGGUUGCGCCGUGUACAACAACUGAAUCUAUGCCGUAGGUGGACGAGACGACGCCACUGAACUCUCGUCAGCUGAGAGCUGCAAUCCUAACACCAACACAUGCCAGUCCCAUAUUGGCAAUGAGCUCAAGAAGGAGUGGCGUCGAACUUGCCGUGUUCAAUGGACAGCUACACGCAGUAGGUCGAUUGAAGUCUACGAUCCGGAGCAGAAUCAAUGGCGACUGUGUGUCACCAUGAAUUAUCGACGGCUCGGCGGUGGUGUGGUCCUUGUCAAAUGCCUCAAAACAAAACUCACUUGUGGUAACAAGAGCCGCAAUCUGACUUGAAAAUUGUUGUUGGGCACACACACUUCAUCUUGUCAUAGAUUAUAAUCGAAAUUUUUUAUGCGUUUCUUUCUUUCUCGUCGUACAUGAAAUUAUUGAAGCGCCUUGCGGAGUAGCAAAGGAAUGGUACCUUUUUUUGUUUGUUUGUGUGUUUAUUUUUCAUCUUACAAUUUCGUUGAAAGAUUCUCAAUCAAGAUUUUUCCGGUUAGUUCUUGUGCUUGACGCGAUGUCAAUUUAUUUAUUUAUUAUUUAUUAGAUUACCAAAAAAGAAUACGUUUUUUGUAACCAAGUUUAAUCAUUGACUGUUAAACUAUAUUUUGAAACUGAAAAUACAGACAAACUUUACAUGGCGAAAUCGACACGGAUAAAUAAUUGUUUUCACAAUUUAUCGUAAAUUAAAAGCAUCAAGAACGCAUUAAACGCAAAUUAAUAUAAAACAAAAUCUUCCAAAUUACUUCAUUUUAAUUGUUCUGAAAAUUCAGAAGCCAAGUAAUUGAUUUGUUGAUUUCAUGACCGUUAAUACCCGAGGGCGAACCUGGAAGGGUC